RNAcentral lists this ribosomal RNA (500 nucleotides) under uncultured bacterium. RNAcentral's name for it is "partial 16S ribosomal RNA". It matches the Rfam family "Bacterial small subunit ribosomal RNA", at positions 29 to 523 of the family's 1533-position model. The record is from RNAcentral.
AUUGAACGCUGGCGGCAGGCCUAACACAUGCAAGUCGAACGGCAGCGCGGACUUCGGUCUGGCGGCGAGUGGCGAACGGGUGAGUAAUACAUCGGAACGUACCCUGUGGUGGGGGAUAACUAGUCGAAAGAUUAGCUAAUACCGCAUACGACCUGAGGGUGAAAGUGGGGGACCGCAAGGCCUCACGCAGCAGGAGCGGCCGAUGUCUGAUUAGCUAGUUGGUGGGGUAAAGGCCCACCAAGGCGACGAUCAGUAGCUGGUCUGAGAGGACGAUCAGCCACACUGGGACUGAGACACGGCCCAGACUCCUACGGGAGGCAGCAGUGGGGAAUUUUGGACAAUGGGGGCAACCCUGAUCCAGCAAUGCCGCGUGUGUGAAGAAGGCCUUCGGGUUGUAAAGCACUUUUGUCCGGAAAGAAAUCGCGCUGGUUAAUACCUGGCGUGGAUGACGGUACCGGAAGAAUAAGCACCGGCUAACUACGUGCCAGCCGCCGCAGUAA